This 433-nucleotide ribosomal RNA is filed under the name uncultured bacterium. RNAcentral describes it as "partial 16S ribosomal RNA". It matches the Rfam family "Bacterial small subunit ribosomal RNA", at positions 29 to 507 of the family's 1533-position model. The record is from RNAcentral.
AACGAACGCUGGCGGCAUGCCUAACACAUGCCAGUCGAACGAGACCUUCGGGUCUAGUGGCGCACGGGUGCGUAACGCGUGGGAACCUGCCCUUAGGUUCGGAAUAACUCCCCGAAAGGGGUGCUAAUACCGGAUAAUGUCUUCGGACCAAGGAUUUAUCGCCUUUGGAUGGGCCCGCGUUGGAUUAGCUAGUUGGUAGGGUAAAAGCCUACUAAGGCGACGAUCCAUAGCUGGUCUGAGAGGAUGGUCAGCCACACUGGGACUGAGACACGGCCCAGACUCCUACGGGAGGCAGCAGUGGGGAAUAUUGGACAGUGGGCGAAAGCCUGAUCCAGCAAUGCCGCGUGAGUGAUGAAGGCCGUAGGGUUGUAAAGCUCUUUUACCCGGGAUGAUAAUGACAGUACCGAGAGAAUAAGCUCCGGCUAACUCCGUG